Molecule: ribosomal RNA, 252 nt
Filed under: uncultured bacterium
Lineage: Bacteria
Description: partial 16S ribosomal RNA
Rfam family: Bacterial small subunit ribosomal RNA
Source: RNAcentral
UACGGAGGAUGCGAGCGUUAUCCGGAUUUAUUGGGUUUAAAGGGUGCGUAGGCGGGAUGCCAAGUCAGCGGUAAAAAUGCGGUGCUCAACGCCGUCGAGCCGUUGUAACUGGCGUUCUUGAGUGGGCGAGAAGUAUGCGGAAUGCGUGGUGUAGCGGUGAAAUGCAUAGAUAUCACGCAGAACUCCGAUUGCGAAGGCAGCAUACCGGCGCCCUACUGACGCUGAGGCACGAAAGCGUGGGUAUCGAACAGG